RNAcentral lists this unclassified non-coding RNA (215 nucleotides) under soil metagenome. RNAcentral describes it as "partial contains 5.8S ribosomal RNA, internal transcribed spacer 2, and large subunit ribosomal RNA". The record is from RNAcentral.
AACCAUAGAAACCUGCGGAGUACCUGCGGAGGGAUCAUUACAAGUGACCCCGGUCUAACCACCGGGAUGUUCAUAACCCUUUGUUGUCCGACUCUGUUGCCUCCGGGGCGACCCUGCCUUCGGGCGGGGGCUCCGGGUGGACACUUCAAACUCUUGCGUAACUUUGCAGUCUGAGUAAACUUAAUUAAUAAAUUAAAACUUUUAACAACGGAUCU